Molecule: ribosomal RNA, 2799 nt
Filed under: Shigella flexneri
Lineage: Bacteria; Pseudomonadati; Pseudomonadota; Gammaproteobacteria; Enterobacterales; Enterobacteriaceae
Description: partial 23S ribosomal RNA
Rfam family: Bacterial large subunit ribosomal RNA
Source: RNAcentral
GUUAAGCGACUAAGCGUACACGGUGGAUGCCCUGGCAGUCAGAGGCGAUGAAGGACGUGCUAAUCUGCGAUAAGCGUCGGUAAGGUGAUAUGAACCGUUAUAACCGGCGAUUUCCGAAUGGGGAAACCCAGUGUGAUUCGUCACACUAUCAUUAACUGAAUCCAUAGGUUAAUGAGGCGAACCGGGGGAACUGAAACAUCUAAGUACCCCGAGGAAAAGAAAUCAACCGAGAUUCCCCCAGUAGCGGCGAGCGAACGGGGAGCAGCCCAGAGCCUGAAUCAGUGUGUGUGUUAGUGGAAGCGUCUGGAAAGGCGUGCGAUACAGGGUGACAGCCCCGUACACAAAAAUGCACAUACUGUGAGCUCGAUGAGUAGGGCGGGACACGUGGUAUCCUGUCUGAAUAUGGGGGGACCAUCCUCCAAGGCUAAAUACUCCUGACUGACCGAUAGUGAACCAGUACCGUGAGGGAAAGGCGAAAAGAACCCCGGCGAGGGGAGUGAAAAAGAACCUGAAACCGUGUACGUACAAGCAGUGGGAGCACGCUUAGGCGUGUGACUGCGUACCUUUUGUAUAAUGGGUCAGCGACUUAUAUUCUGUAGCAAGGUUAACCGAAUAGGGGAGCCGAAGGGAAACCGAGUCUUAACUGGGCGUUAAGUUGCAGGGUAUAGACCCGAAACCCGGUGAUCUAGCCAUGGGCAGGUUGAAGGUUGGGUAACACUAACUGGAGGACCGAACCGACUAAUGUUGAAAAAUUAGCGGAUGACUUGUGGCUGGGGGUGAAAGGCCAAUCAAACCGGGAGAUAGCUGGUUCUCCCCGAAAGCUAUUUAGGUAGCGCCUCGUGAAUUCAUCUCCGGGGGUAGAGCACUGUUUCGGCAAGGGGGUCAUCCCGACUUACCAACCCGAUGCAAACUGCGAAUACCGGAGAAUGUUAUCACGGGAGACACACGGCGGGUGCUAACGUCCGUCGUGAAGAGGGAAACAACCCAGACCGCCAGCUAAGGUCCCAAAGUCAUGGUUAAGUGGGAAACGAUGUGGGAAGGCCCAGACAGCCAGGAUGUUGGCUUAGAAGCAGCCAUCAUUUAAAGAAAGCGUAAUAGCUCACUGGUCGAGUCGGCCUGCGCGGAAGAUGUAACGGGGCUAAACCAUGCACCGAAGCUGCGGCAGCGACGCUUAUGCGUUGUUGGGUAGGGGAGCGUUCUGUAAGCCUGUGAAGGUGUACUGUGAGGUAUGCUGGAGGUAUCAGAAGUGCGAAUGCUGACAUAAGUAACGAUAAAGCGGGUGAAAAGCCCGCUCGCCGGAAGACCAAGGGUUCCUGUCCAACGUUAAUCGGGGCAGGGUGAGUCGACCCCUAAGGCGAGGCCGAAAGGCGUAGUCGAUGGGAAACAGGUUAAUAUUCCUGUACUUGGUGUUACUGCGAAGGGGGGACGGAGAAGGCUAUGUUGGCCGGGCGACGGUUGUCCCGGUUUAAGCGUGUAGGCUGGUUUUCCAGGCAAAUCCGGAAAAUCAAGGCCGAGGCGUGAUGACGAGGCACUACGGUGCUGAAGCAACAAAUGCCCUGCUUCCAGGAAAAGCCUCUAAGCAUCAGGUAACAUCAAAUCGUACCCCAAACCGACACAGGUGGUCAGGUAGAGAAUACCAAGGCGCUUGAGAGAACUCGGGUGAAGGAACUAGGCAAAAUGGUGCCGUAACUUCGGGAGAAGGCACGCUGAUACGUAGGUGAAGCGACUUGCUCGUGGAGCUGAAAUCAGUCGAAGAUACCAGCUGGCUGCAACUGUUUAUUAAAAACACAGCACUGUGCAAACACGAAAGUGGACGUAUACGGUGUGACGCCUGCCCGGUGCCGGAAGGUUAAUUGAUGGGGUUAGCGCAAGCGAAGCUCUUGAUCGAAGCCCCGGUAAACGGCGGCCGUAACUAUAACGGUCCUAAGGUAGCGAAAUUCCUUGUCGGGUAAGUUCCGACCUGCACGAAUGGCGUAAUGAUGGCCAGGCUGUCUCCACCCGAGACUCAGUGAAAUUGAACUCGCUGUGAAGAUGCAGUGUACCCGCGGCAAGACGGAAAGACCCCGUGAACCUUUACUAUAGCUUGACACUGAACAUUGAGCCUUGAUGUGUAGGAUAGGUGGGAGGCUUUGAAGUGUGGACGCCAGUCUGCAUGGAGCCGACCUUGAAAUACCACCCUUUAAUGUUUGAUGUUCUAACGUGGACCCGUAAUCCGGGUUGCGGACAGUGUCUGGUGGGUAGUUUGACUGGGGCGGUCUCCUCCUAAAGAGUAACGGAGGAGCACGAAGGUUGGCUAAUCCUGGUCGGACAUCAGGAGGUUAGUGCAAUGGCAUAAGCCAGCUUGACUGCGAGCGUGACGGCGCGAGCAGGUGCGAAAGCAGGUCAUAGUGAUCCGGUGGUUCUGAAUGGAAGGGCCAUCGCUCAACGGAUAAAAGGUACUCCGGGGAUAACAGGCUGAUACCGCCCAAGAGUUCAUAUCGACGGCGGUGUUUGGCACCUCGAUGUCGGCUCAUCACAUCCUGGGGCUGAAGUAGGUCCCAAGGGUAUGGCUGUUCGCCAUUUAAAGUGGUACGCGAGCUGGGUUUAGAACGUCGUGAGACAGUUCGGUCCCUAUCUGCCGUGGGCGCUGGAGAACUGAGGGGGGCUGCUCCUAGUACGAGAGGACCGGAGUGGACGCAUCACUGGUGUUCGGGUUGUCAUGCCAAUGGCACUGCCCGGUAGCUAAAUGCGGAAGAGAUAAGUGCUGAAAGCAUCUAAGCACGAAACUUGCCCCGAGAUGAGUUCUCCCUGACCCUUUAA